GACGAACGCUGGCGGCGUGCUUAACACAUGCAAGUCGAACGGAAAGGCCCUGCUUUUGUGGGGUGCUCGAGUGGCGAACGGGUGAGUAACACGUGAGUAACCUGCCCUUGACUUUGGGAUAACUUCAGGAAACUGGGGCUAAUACCGGAUAGGAGCUCCUGCUGCAUGGUGGGGGUUGGAAAGUUUCGGCGGUUGGGGAUGGACUCGCGGCUUAUCAGCUUGUUGGUGGGGUAGUGGCUUACCACGGCUUUGACGGGUAGCCGGCCUGGGAGGGUGACCGGCCACAUUGGGACUGAGAUACGGCCCAGACUCCUACGGGAGGCAGCAGUGGGGAAUAUUGCACAAUGGGCGGAAGCCUGAUGCAGCAACGCCGCGUGCGGGAUGACGGCCUUCGGGUUGUAAACCGCUUUCGCCUGUGACGAAGCGUGAGUGACGGUAAUGGGUAAAGAAGCACCGGCUAACUACGUG
Molecule: ribosomal RNA, 468 nt
Filed under: uncultured bacterium
Lineage: Bacteria
Description: partial 16S ribosomal RNA
Rfam family: Bacterial small subunit ribosomal RNA
Source: RNAcentral